RNAcentral lists this unclassified non-coding RNA (820 nucleotides) under Leishmania donovani. Its description in RNAcentral is "gene:unknown". Lineage: Eukaryota; Euglenozoa; Kinetoplastea; Trypanosomatida; Trypanosomatidae. The record is from RNAcentral.
GAGGAACGGAGGGGAAGGGGGUUGAGCACGAGCAUGGACAGCAGAGAGAGAGAAGGGUGACUUCUUGGCUUCUUCAGCUGUCGAUGCCCCUCCCCCCCCCUCCCCCGAUGACAAGGUGAGGUGGGGGGGCACACCUCACACACACACACACCUCAGUGCGUCGUAUCGAUAUCUUCGGACCCUCUCCGUAUGGGGAAGCCGAGCAGCCUCGCCCGCCCCCCCCCACCUCUGUCAAUGCACAACCACCUCUGGUGGGUGGCAGGGCCAGGUGCCUGCGGCGUAGGGGGAGGCCAGUGCGAUGUACCGCCACUGAUGCCGGCGGUCAGGUCCUGGAUGGCGCUUCAUCGGAGAGAGCUGCGACAGUGAAUACGCUUGCACUAUCCACAUGAUGGGCAGCGUGUCGACGUGACUCGACCGCAUCUCAGUCGGCCCUUGCUGCCCGCUGGUGGGUGAGCCUGAGCCAUCCCAAGCGAUGCGCCAGCUGGCGACCUGCUCAGCGUGGAGUGGCGGGCAGAGUUUGAGGCAGGGGCCGUGCUCCGAUGGCUGAGUCGGCGCAUCGCUGUAGCGCGUGUGCCUACGGCUGCUUCGCACCACGCGAUGGGUGGCGUGUGGCACGGCGUGUGGGCACAGCGGCCUUUGACCUCACGUUGUGUGCGGCAGCGAAAAGAAAAAACGGGCACGCGCCGAAGAAGGGAAAUCCACUUUUCAUCCUUGCUGCGCGCACCAAAACCCCCACCCACCCACCUUUCCAUCCAGCCUCCCCUUUCUUUAUCUUGGUCUUUCCUUAAAGGCUGCCGUUUCACAGCGUUCUUCGUGCAAC